AGCAGCCGCGGUAAUUCCAGCUCCAAUAGCGUAUAUUAAAGUUGUUGCAGUUAAAAAGCUCGUAGUUGAAUUUCGGGAUCAAUACGUCGGUCGUGCUUCGGUACGUACUGGCGUAAUUGAUUUCUCCCUUCUGACGAACCAUGAUGUCAUUAACUUGGUGUCAUGGGAAAUCAGGACUGUUACUUUGAAAAAUUAGAGUGUUUAAAGCAGGCUCACGCUUGAAUACAUUAGCAUGGAAUAAUGAAAUAGGACGUUCGAUCCUAUUUUGUUGGUUUUUAGGAUCAACGUAAUGAUUAAUAGGGAUAGUUGGGGGCAUUAGUAUUCAAUUGUCAGAGGUGAAAUUCUUGGAUUUAUUGAAGACUAACUACUGCGAAAGCAUUUGCCAAGGAUGUUUUCAUUAAUCAAGAACGAAAGUUAGGGGAUCGAAGACGAUCAGAUACCGUCGUAGUCUUAACCAUAAACUAUGCCGACUAGGGAUCGGAUGAUGUUAAUUUUUAANGACUCAUUCGGCGCCUUAAC
This 519-nucleotide ribosomal RNA is filed under the name uncultured Glomus. RNAcentral describes it as "SSU rRNA". It matches the Rfam family "Eukaryotic small subunit ribosomal RNA", at positions 569 to 1092 of the family's 1831-position model. Lineage: Eukaryota; Fungi; Glomeromycota; Glomeromycetes; Glomerales; Glomeraceae. The record is from RNAcentral.